This 578-nucleotide ribosomal RNA is filed under the name uncultured bacterium. RNAcentral describes it as "bacterial SSU rRNA". It matches the Rfam family "Bacterial small subunit ribosomal RNA", at positions 338 to 909 of the family's 1533-position model. The record is from RNAcentral.
CCUACGGGAGGCAGCAGUGGGGAAUUUUGGACAAUGGGCGCAAGCCUGAUCCAGCCAUGCCGCGUGCAGGAUGAAGGCCUUCGGGUUGUAAACUGCUUUUGUACGGAACGAAAAAGCUCUCUCUAAUACAGGGGGUGAAUGACGGUACCGUAAGAAUAAGCACCGGCUAACUACGUGCCAGCAGCCGCGGUAAUACGUAGGGUGCAAGCGUUAAUCGGAAUUACUGGGCGUAAAGCGUGCGCAGGCGGUUAUGUAAGACAGAGGUGAAAUCCCCGGGCUCAACCUGGGAACUGCCUUUGUGACUGCAUAGCUGGAGUGCGGCAGAGGGGGAUGGAAUUCCGCGUGUAGCAGUGAAAUGCGUAGAUAUGCGGAGGAACACCGAUGGCGAAGGCAAUCCCCUGGGCCUGCACUGACGCUCAUGCACGAAAGCGUGGGGAGCAAACAGGAUUAGAUACCCUGGUAGUCCACGCCCUAAACGAUGUUAACUGGUUGUUGGGUCUUCACUGACUCAGUAACGAAGCUAACGCGUGAAGUUGACCGCCUGGGGAGUACGGCCGCAAGGUUAAAACUCAAAGGAA